CUCUAUUCAGCCUUCACCAGUGAUGGUGCCAUUUCAGUACCAAGCCUUUCUGCUCCAGGUCAAGGAACCAGCAGCACAAACACUGUUGGGGCAACAGUGAACAGCCAAGCCGCCCAAGCUCAGCCUCCUGCCAUGACGUCCAGCAGGAAGGGCACAUUCACAGAUGACUUGCACAAGUUGGUAGACAAUUGGGCCCGAGAUGCCAUGAAUCUCUCAGGCAGGAGAGGAAGCAAAGGGCACAUGAAUUACGAGGGCCCUGGAAUGGCAAGGAAGUUCUCUGCACCUGGGCAACUGUGCAUCUCCAUGACCUCGAACCUGGGUGGCUCUGCCCCCAUCUCUGCAGCAUCAGCUACCUCUCUAGGUCACUUCACCAAGUCUAUGUGCCCCCCACAGCAGUAUGGCUUUCCAGCUACCCCAUUUGGCGCUCAAUGGAGUGGGACGGGUGGCCCAGCACCACAGCCACUUGGCCAGUUCCAACCUGUGGGAACUGCCUCCUUGCAGAAUUUCAACAUCAGCAAUUUGCAGAAAUCCAUCAGCAACCCCCCAGGCUCCAACCUGCGGACCACUUAGACCUAGAGACAUUAACUGAAUAGAUCUGGGGGCAGGAGAUGGAAUGCUGAGGGGGUGGGUGGGGGUGGGAAGUAGCCUAUAUACUAACUACUAGUGCUGCAUUUAACUGGUUAUUUCUUGCCAGAGGGGAAUGUUUUUAAUACUGCAUUGAGCCCUCAGAAUGGAGAGUCUCCCCCGCUCCAGUUAUUGGAAUGGGAGAGGAAGGAAAGAACAGCUUUUUUGUCAAGGGGCAGCUUCAGACCAUGCUUUCCUGUUUAUCUAUACUCAGUAAUGAGGAUGAGGGCUAGGAAAGUCUUGUUCAUAAGGAAGCUGGAGAACUCAAUGUAAAAUCAAACCCAUCUGUAAUUUCGAGUGGGUGGAGCUCUUGCUUUUGGUACAUGCCCUGAAUCCCUCACUCCCUCAAGAAUCCGAACCACAGGACAAAAACCACCUACUGGGCUCUCUCCUACCCUGCCCUCCUCCCUUUUUUUUACCCCUCUCUUUUUUAUUUUUUCUUUGCUCUUUAGAACCCAGUGAAAAAUACCAGGGUACUGGGGUGCAACUCUUUCUUAUGAUAGGUCAUUAGUGCUUUAAGCAAAAGAUAUUAGCAGCUUUGACUGCAGCAUUAGCAAUUAGG
This 1186-nucleotide long non-coding RNA is filed under the name Homo sapiens (human). Its description in RNAcentral is "long non-coding RNA NONHSAT161720.1". Lineage: Eukaryota; Metazoa; Chordata; Mammalia; Primates; Hominidae. The record is from RNAcentral.